GCUUGCUUUCUUUGCCGGCGACCGGCGCACGGGUGAGUAACACGUAUCCAACCUGCCCUUUACUCGGGGAUAGCCUUUCGAAAGAAAGAUUAAUACCCGAUGGCAUAAUGAUUCCGCAUGGUUUCAUUAUUAAAGGAUUCCGGUAAAGGAUGGGGAUGCGUUCCAUUAGGUUGUUGGUGAGGUAACGGCCCACCAAGCCUUCGAUGGAUAGGGGUUCUGAGAGGAAGGUCCCCCACAUUGGAACUGAGACACGGUCCAAACUCCUACGGAGGCAGCAUG
This 279-nucleotide ribosomal RNA is filed under the name uncultured bacterium. RNAcentral's name for it is "partial 16S ribosomal RNA". It matches the Rfam family "Bacterial small subunit ribosomal RNA", at positions 78 to 353 of the family's 1533-position model. The record is from RNAcentral.